This 14361-nucleotide small RNA is filed under the name Pan troglodytes (chimpanzee). RNAcentral's name for it is "sense overlapping". The stretch from base 11401 to 11487 matches the Rfam family "Selenocysteine transfer RNA". The record is from RNAcentral. Lineage: Eukaryota; Metazoa; Chordata; Mammalia; Primates; Hominidae.
GCUAAUUUUGUAUUUUUCUUAGAGGAGGUUUUGCCACUUUGGCCAGGCUGGUCUCCAGCCUUGCAUUUUUUUGUUGUUUUGUUUGUUUGUUUGUUUGUUUUUUGAGACAGAGUUUCACUCUUGUUGCCCAGGCUGGAGUGCAAUGGUGCAAUCUCUGCUCACUGCAACCUCCACCUCCUGGGUUCAAGUGAUUCUCCUGACUCAGCCUCCCAAGUAGCUGGGAUUACAGGUGCCUGCCACCAUGCCCGGCUAAUUUUUGCAUUUUUAGCAGAGAUGGGGUUUCGCCAUUUUGGCCAGGCUGGUCUCGAACUCCUGACCUCAAGUGAUUGACCCGAUUCUGCCCCUCAAAGUGCUGGGAUUACAGGCAUGAGCCCCUGUGCCCGGCCCAGCCUGUGUUUUGAGCAUUCCACGGCUGCUGGAAGACCUGUUGUCUGCUGAAAUCUUCAUAUUCACCACUCUUCUGAUUUCAGUACCUCCCCUCCAAACAACAUUACCAGGGUGGUUAAUGUGCAAAUAGAGAUGGUGAUUUGCUGCUGACCUUGUGCAAACGUUAAUAAUUCACACAAGCACCUCUCGUUUAUAAUUAGAGCAGGCUGGAACACAGCACCAUGUGACUUGCAUUCUUAUCAGUAGGCCUUUACCUGGGCAGCGAGGGCCCAGCUUUCUGGCUGGCUCUGUCCCUCAUCCUCCAUUGUGCUGCUUGUGAAACUGUGUUCUGAGUGACCCAUCUCAUGGCUCUCUCUGUGUUCUUGUUUGCAGGAUGAUGAUGGGCCGGUUCGGUAAGUAACCCCGGGGAAAGUGGGGAGACGGAGGCAUGUUAGGGCUCCCCCAGGAAGCUCCCAGAGAGUGUACAUGGUUAUCUGGAGGGAGUGGGAAACUAGAUGGGUCUCACUGCCCCCAUAGUUCUGGAAUCCUAGAGAAAGUGCACAGCCCACCCCCACCUUUCCGUAUAACGGGCUUGUUUCUCAGAGCUGAGAGUGGCUGGGUUGUGCUAGGAGGAGUGGGGUGGAAGGCUGGGUGACCAGCUAGGGGAGCAGGAGGGGCCUGGGAUGUAACACUGGCUGGAACUGUCAGGGGCUGGAGCAAGAGUGGUUGAGGGUAAAAGGGAGGGAGGAGAGGCGUCCAGCACAUGGAGCAUCGUUAGCUGGCUGGAAGAGAGGGGCUCAGCUCUGUGGAUAUCCUUCCAUGUGUAUUAUUUCCUCCUGGAAACCACUGGUUUAGCAGACUUCCUUAGAGUCAGGCAGCCAGGGCUCAUUCCUGGCUGGUGGCUUGUGGCCUGCCCCUUCCUCUCUCUGCUCCUCAUCCGUGAAAUGGGAGUGUAAAAGGCUCUCCCCAGGCAGGGGCUGCUGUGAGUAUUGGGUGAGAUCACAGGUGAGUGCCCUGCUUGGCCGGGGGACAGCCCUCUAUGUGGGGUGGUUUUAUUAGUGUUGGUUUUCAGUGGCUCUUCCCAAAGAGAGAGAGGUAAUCACUCUCUCUUCCCUCAUUAAAGCCUGAGACCUCAUCUUCAUCUCGCUGAGGGAUGGUAACGUUUCAACCCUCAGUACCAGGAUACCCCGGCCCUCGGCCUGGCCAGCCUCAGUGCUUUGGGAAGCAUUUCAAAAGAGAAACCUCUUGACCCCCAGAUACCCUGUUCUCCAGUGAGCAGGGAGGGGAGAACAGCUCUUAAAAGGAAAAAUGGAAACCAGAUAGAAGUUUCCCACCUGCCUCUCUAGCGGAGCUGAUAUCUGUCUUUUGGGGGCCCUCUGGGUGGGGGUGCCACCCCCUGAGUCCUAUACAAUGAGGGCUGGGCCAGCUUGGCCAUGGGGCUCUGUAAACUCAAGUUAUUAUGGGGACCAGCUAGGAUGCCAUUGCUGCUUAUCUAUUGUAUUAGGGUUCUCUAGAGGGACAGAACUAAUACGAUAGAUAGAUAUAUAUAAAGGGGAGUUUACUAAGGGUAUUAACUCACACGAUCACAAGGUCCCACAAUAGUCCUUCUGCAAGCUGAGGAGCAGGGAAGCCAGUUUGAGUCCCAAAGCUGUAGAACCUGGAGUUUGAUGUUCCAAGGCAGGAAGCAUCCAGUAUGGGAGAAAGAUGGAGGCUGGGAGACUAAGCCAGUCUAGUCUUUUCAUGUUCUUCUGCCUGCUUUUUAUUUUGGCUGUGCUGGCAGCUGAUUAGAUGGUGCCCACCUAGAUUAAGGGUGGUCUGCCUUUUCCAGUCCACAGAUUCAGAUGUUAAUCUCCUUUGGCAACACCCUCACAGACACACCCAGGAACCACACCUUGCACCCUUCAAUCCAAUCAAGCUGACAGUAUUAACCAUCACGCCUGUGGAGAGGGGAAGUGGCUCAGAUCCUGCGGGGCUUGAAUUGAGAAGAUGCAGCCAGUGUGUCCCCCCUAGGCUUUCUUUACUAGACCUUAAGCUGUGCUGGGAACAUUCACAGGCCUUCUCUGUUUUUUGUUUGUUUGUUUGUUUGUUUUUAAGGAGAAUUCCAGCUCUUUUAAAAUGUCUCUAUUAUUAAACAACAAAUGCAGGAAGAGAAAGAGAAACAUCCUGUAUAUAGUUGCUGAGGGAGGCGAAACCGCAGUGGGGUCACAGCUCAUGGGGCCGGGGUGAGGCGUCUCCCCACCCUGUGUCUAGGUAGAGGCGCGUUUUGGGGGCACAGUGCCCCCCUCUGUCACCUCCUCUCCAUCCUUUCUUCCUGGAGGAGGCUCAGAACCCCUUUGGAAUUGUAGAAGCCUAAAGAUGAGGAGAGGGCCGGGCGCGGUGGCUCAUGCCUUUAAUCUCAGCACUUUGAGAGGCCGAGGUGGAUGGAUCAUGAAGUCAUGAGAUCGAGACCAGCCUGGCUAACAUGGUGAAACCCCGUCCCUACUAAAAAUACAAAAAAAUUAGCCGGGCGUGGUGGUGGGCACCUGUAGUCCCAGCUACUCGGGAGGCUGAUGCAGGAGAAUCGCUUGAACCCAGGAGGUGGAGGUUGCAGUGAGCCGAGAUUGCGCCACUGCACUCCAGCCUGAGUGACAGAGCAAGACUCCGUCUCAAAAAAAAAAAAAAAAAAAAAAAAAAAAAAAAAAAAAAAAAAAAAGAUGAGAGUGGGCCCCUCAAGCAUUUUUGAGUCUUUUUGUUUUUUUGUGGCGCUGUCACUUUUGUGUUUGGUUCGGGCCUUGUUGGAGGUUUAGGGAAAAGACAGUCUGUUCAGUUCAGUUGGGAGCACAUGGGCCUCAGGCUGUGUAUAGCACCCUGUGGCCCGAGGGCCCAGAAGCCUGGCCCCGGAGCCCCUGCCACCCCAUGAAUGAGCUUUAGGGUCUGAUGGCUGGGGCAGUGGCUCCUUAGGUAAGAGCCAGGUGUCACAUGUGAAAAGUGGACCCAGCUGCCACUCCAGGGGUGGGAGGACUGUGGAAUCGUAAGACCACGUACAAGAGGCCGAUGGAAUUGUUCUCGUUACUUUGUAGGCUUUAUGUGCUGUGCUUGAGAAAAUGCAAACAGGCUAUUAGUCGGUGACAGGCAAUUAGUUCCGCCCCCGGCCUUGCUGCUUCUGCUGACGCAGGUUCCGAAGUCUCCUGGUUACCCAGCCUGGCACCCUCAGGCACAGCAGGGUGUCUGGCCCGGCACCCGCCCCUGUGGGGGCAGCAGCACGCCUUGUCUUGGCUUCCCUGCCAUGCCAUUCCCCUCCUUCAGCCCCCGAGAGCACCCCAGGGUGCUCUCUCCUCCAGCAACCUUCACCUGAAUGCUCUCCCUCUAGAUUACCCCAUGGCUCACUCUUUCAGCUCUGCCAGCUCUUGGUUCAAAUGUCACUGAUCAGGGAGGCCCUCUCUGACUCCACUGCCCCAAACUGGCCUCCACUGGCUCUCCUCCCCACCCCUGCCUUAGUGCUUUCUGUACUCAUGUGACACACCAAGCAGCACUCAGCUCAUGGGGAUGGCCUGGCUCCUCUUCCCUGUGCCAGUGUUUACACAACGAAGCUUGCACGUGUCUGGCAGACACUGGUGCCAGCAAACUUUCAGGGGCACCCACAGCCCCUGCCUUUCUCCUUUCACACAUGGCUCCUUGACCCAGAGGUGCUCUGUGGGCUGGAGCUGACCCUUCCUCGGGGUGCACCCCACCCCCUGCCAAAGCAGCCAGCCCUGGCCACAGUCUGCACGCAGCUGGGGCAGAUGUUUUAGGAGCUUCUGGAAGGCCGGGCAGACCCUCCUUGGCUAAUGUGCUGGGCUUUGCCAGGAGUGGUCUUCUGGGCCUCAGUUUCCCCACGAGUACCCUGACCCAGGGAGGGAUGGGGACUCCGUUCUGCCCACUCCCCAUCAUUCCGAGGAGGGAGGUGGCUCCACAGGUCCUCGCUGCCUCCUGACAGCAUCACUGUCCUGGAUGAGGUGGGUGAGGAGGCUUCUCUCCACGGAAACAAGUCUCAGGGGAUCCAGGGAGGUUGCAGCCUGGUCUCCAUGGCAACGGGUGAGCUGGUGCGGCUUCUCCGCGGGCGGCCCUUCCCCCUCCUGGGCCUGCCCUGGGCUGGAGGCUCUUCCUGAGGCAGAGGGGAAAGAAGGGGGAUGUGCCUUCCUCACUCUCUUCCCCCUCAUUGUAACUCCUAGUAAUUCCCCUUCACGUCUCUCCCAUUUCUGCCAACAGGGCUUGUUCCAAAACCUCUGGCUCCAUCCCAUCACCCGUGGCUCCUGACUGUGCCCUCCAUAACUCCCACGUUGCAGGCCACAGCCCCUGUUAACCCCUCUCACAGUCCACCCGGCUCUUGAACCUGUGCUGGGCUUUCUGGCAUCUCUCUCUCCUUGUGCCUGCUGGUCCCUCGGUGGAGCGCCUUUCCUCCUCCUCUUGCCCCAGCAAGCCUGGCUUGAACCCCAGGACUGCUUUGUGAAGCCUUCCUCAGGUCCCCCCAGCCCUUGGUUCAUGGGUCCCAGACUCAGGUGUCUCCAGGGACCAGGCUGAUAAUGUAAAAGAGGAGAGUGUCUAGAUUAUGCAAUGAUAAUGUCAUCUGCCCCUUCACCCCAGGGCUGGGUGGCAGUGGGGAGUGGUGGGGUCUGGCGCAAACUGGAGAGUCCACACCCCCAUCCCCAGGGGCAGCUUAUUGCUGCCAGGUGGGAGUGCAGGCUCACUGUUGCCACAGCCUCCAGUUCUUCAAGAGAAGCCAGAAGUUCAGAACUUUUGGACAAACUUUCCAAUUUAAGAACUGUUGACUCUUGCCGGGUACCGUGGCUCACACCUGUAGUCCCAGCACUUUGGGAGGCUGAGGCGGGUGGAUUACUUGAGGUCAGGAGUUCAAGACCAGCCUUACCAACAUGGCGAAACCCCGUCUCUACUAAAAAUACAAAAAUUAGCCAGGUGUGGUGGUGCACGCCUGUAGUCCCAGCUAUUCAGGAGGUUGAGGCAGGAGAAUUGCUUGAACCCGGGAGGCAGAUGUUGCAGUGAGCCGAGAUCACACCACUGCACUCCAGCCUGGGUGACAGAGUGAGACUCUGUCUCAAAAAGCCUAAAGACCAAAACAAAACAAAACAAAACAAAUGAAAACUGUUGACUCAAAUCAAAACAUUACAGGGACCAAGCUGAGCAUUCCUGCAGAUUGAGCUUGGGCAGCCCUGGCAUAUGGUCAGGUCGGUUGGCCCCCGUCUGGCUUCCUCUUUUCUGACACUAACAGUGUUGCAAGAUCAUAGUUUACUCCCUCUCCAGGCCCUCCCCCAAGUCUGUGCCUCUUCCAAGAGCGGAGUCCCUCCUUGUUUAUCUCUGUGAUGUCCCCAGAGCCUGCGGAGGCUCUGGGGGACAGGACGAGCGGGAGCUGUAAGGACUGAGGACUGACAAUGCUCCUGCCAGGCUCCGUGCUCCUGCCUCUACUCACUGCCCCACUUAGUUCCACACCAAGAGCGAGGCAGGGGCUGUGAGAAUGCUGCCUUUAUGGAGGAAGAAAGGGGGUUGGAGAGGGAAGGAUUUGCCCAGUCAUGGGGUGUGAAGUGGGGCAGCUAGAACAAAAUAGGAUCUAUUUUCGUUCCCAAGGCCAAGCACAUCACAGGGGUGCAGUAUGCUGUCUCUGUCUCUCUCUCUCCCCUAGGUCAGGGUGGUCCCUGGGGAGGCCCCUGGGUUACCCCAAGACAGGUGGGAGGAGCUUCCUACCCUACCCUCUUCCUGUCAAGCUGGGCUCUGUGGCUCCCAGGGCUGCUCCUUGUAUUGGGGCCCCAGCCUGGCUGGUAACAGAGGGUCCCUCCACUGGGCUCAGUCUUCUGAGCAUGCUCUGCCCCCAGGAACCUGGAGGAUGGAAGUUGGGGGCCCUGGGUCCCUUCCAAAUGCCCUUGGGUCCUGUGCCUGGUCCCCAGUGCCCAUUUUCAGAGCCCCUGGCCCCUCCCUGCCUUGUGGACUGUGUGACGUGAUGCCAGUCCCCUGGGUCCAGGGGCAUGGCAGCCGGCGGAGAGGCCUCUGCAGCACCGAUGUCUCCUUGAGUGGCUUGACUCUGCCAGCCCAGCGGUGGCCCAGCUAAAUAUACCCUGGCUGACGUCAAGCACUCUUCUGCUCCUGGGGUUUUUCUUAAGCUGCAUUUAUAGUUUGCGUAUUGCUUUGUAAAGAUGUAAAAAUUUCACUUUUUUUUUUUUUUUGCCCCUUAGCAGACUGUCUUAUUGAGUGUAGUCUUAGAUGAUUACAAAAAUCAUUUACAGCUGCUGCAUUAGGAAGCUGGCGUGUGUCCAGAGGCAGGGCAUUUUGGUCAAUGUUGGUCUUUAGGUGAAGAAAACUUCCCUCCCCUCCCCCAGUCACACACAUGCUCACACACGCGCACACACGCUCACACACGCGCACACACGCUCACACGUGCUCACACGUGUACACACGCUCACGCACACACAUGCUCUCACACGCCUUCACACGCACACACGUGCUCACACACGCACACGUGCACACAGGUGCUCACACGCACACACACGCUCACGCACGCGCACACGUGCUCACACGCACACAUGCUCACACACGUGCACACGUGCCCACACAUGCACACAAUGCUCACACACGCUCACACGCACACGCUCACACACGUGCACACACGCUCACACGUGCUCACACGUGUACAUACGCUCACACAUGCUCACACACGCCCUCACACACACGUGCUGACACACACACGUGCGCACACGUGCUCACACACACACACGCUCACACACGCAGUGCACACAUGCACACACGUGCUCACACACGCACACAUGCUCACACGCACACACGUGCCCACACAUGCACACACAUGCUCACGCGUGCACACACACGUACACAUACACUUUCCUUCUCUCCUUUCCUCUUUGUUUCUCACCACCUCCACAAGGCCACGGAAGAGGCUACUUGGGCUGGGCUGGGCAGGGGGGUGUGAGCUGCCUCCUGGGGCCCAGCCUGGGAGGAAGGGUCAGCAUGCUUCCUCUGGGAGGAGGCCUGGCCGACUUCUCUCCCUAGGUCUCUGGCUUACCUGGGCCUAAUCCCUUCCUUCUUUUUCUGGGCUCUCUUUGUCUCUCUCCUAGGCCAGGGCGGUCCCUGAGGAGGCUCCCCUAGGCCACCCACUAGACGGGCGGGAGGAGCUUCCUACCCCACUCUCUCCCUGUCAAGCUGGGCUCCGCAGCUCCCAGGGCUGCUCCUUGGGUUGGGGCCCCAGCCUGGCUGGUAAAAGAGGGUCUCUCUGCUGGGCUUGGUCCUCUGAACAUGCUCGGCCUCCAGAAACCUGGAGGAUGGAAGUUGGGGGGCCCUGGGCCCCUUCCAAAUGCCCUCCUCCCUGUCUCUUCUGCCCUGGCAGUGAUGCCCCACAGCUCUGUGUCUACCUGGAGACCUCAGCCCUCUGCUUGGGGUCCAAGUCUCUGUUCCAUAUACCCCUAUGGAACUCCCCCCUCCAUGGCAGCAGGAGCAAAGGCUCUGAGGCAAGUGUGCACCAGUGUCAGCAGGAGCAGCUGGGAGGCCGGUUGGUGGAGUGAAGUCAGGGAGGGUGCGUGUAGGAGGAUAACGCUGAGUCUGAGUGUCCCAUGGCACGUGGGAGAGAGGAUGGAUUUUAUCUGAGUGUCCCAUGGCUCGCAGUAGAGAAGAUAGAUUUUAUUCUAAGCAUGAUAAGAAGCAGUUGGAGGGUUUUAGUUGUGGUGGGAGUGGAGGGGGGAAACAAAUGAUCCUGUUUGCACUUGGAAGGGCUCACUCUGCCUGCUGGGGAGAAGGGCUCAGGGGCCAGGAGUGGAGUAGGAGGCUGCAGCUGCUCCCAGGCGAGGGGCAGUGAGGCGCGAGCAGGACAUGGCCACUGUCGCGGGGGAAGUGGUUGGAUUCACAGGUGACAUUUGCCAGUAGACAAGGAGUGUGGGAACAGGGAGAAUUCAGGACGCCUCAAGUCCUAGGACGUGGCAGGGGCAGAUGCCAGAUGCCAUCUAUGUGUUUCAUAUGAGAAGGUAAAAAGCAGGUGGAAGGGACCCUCUGCAGCCUCUAGUCCACGCUGUUCUGGUUGUUCCCAAGCGCUCUUGCUCGCCUUGGUUUGGCCGGGACUGAUCAUCAGGGUCAGCCCUUUCAUUCUGGUAGGAAUUGGAAGGAUUCUAGGCAGGUGUGGGAGUUGAGGCUGAACCUCCUGAGGGGUCAGAAGCUGGCAGGUUCCUGGAUUAGGGCAGCACCGCGGGUUUCCAUAAACGCUCCUUCGUGUCUCUCUUUGCAUGUCCUCAGAGCGGGAUGCCUUCGACACGCUGUUCGACCACGCCCCGGAUAAGCUCAGCGUGGUGAAGAAGGUGAGCUAUUGGUGGGAUGUUGGAUGUGCUCUCCCCUGGCUCGUGGCUUUUUGACAGCACAAACGCCCCGCUGGGAAGAAGGUGGGAAAAUGUUUGGAAUCUCAGAAAUGUUUGCCACAUGGAUUGAAAUGUAAUUACAGUCAAAAACCUAACCACAGUGCAUAAAAUUAGCGCCUUUUAACUCAACCUUGCUGCUCCCUGGGUGUCUUCCUGCCCGCCCGCUCCACUUCUGUUAAGUGAAUUACCCAGCCCCCAUUUCUUUCUGACUCGAGGCCUUUUUUCAAUGUGGAAAUGUUUUUAAGCAUGUCAGCCUGCUGCUCUCGCUGGCCUCAUUUACCAUCUACAGCCUGCCCAGUAAACACGCAGGCCUGUGCGGCUGAGCUGUGCCAUGCAUGGAUUUGGCCCGUUUCCCUCCAGACAGAGAAUGGGCCCUCACUAGCCCAGGCAGCCUGCUGGUCAAUCUGUGGAUGGAAAAAUCUCCGAGGCUCUGGAGUUGGGGGCUGGGUGUGAUCAGCUUCUGGGGGAUCUGCCAGGGAGGCUUGUUCCCGUCAAAAGGAACUGGAGCCCACUGGCUGCUCAUUAACUUAUCCGAGUGCCUGCAGGCAUCCCAUUCAGGAGGCUGCUGCAUCCCUCCUUCCCAUAACAUCGGAGGAGCGCUCAUUUCAACCCAUGGUGCAGGCAAGAGAGUUCUCCUUUGUCUAGGACAGCUUACCCAAACAGCUUUCUUAGUGCAAGACUUGUCAGAACCUUUAAUAGGCUGACCUAUACUGUACUUCUCCAAGAGGGAGCUUGGUAGGAAGCAUUUUUCCAACUUGUUUGUUUAUAGUGGGAUUUAUUUAGCUAUCAAUUUUGGGGUAGGACGCAUUGUAUUUUAGUGGAACCCACUUUUGGAAAAUGUUGGCCUGGGUUUGGACGAUGAGAUCAUUCAUUUUUGGAAGCAUUUUGUAAAAGGCUGUUGGAACCGUGCUAAUGGUCCUUCUGGGACAAAGCCUUCCUAGCACUCUCGGGUGGUGAGGGAUAUACUUGGAGCCUCAGAGUCCCCCACUUCCACCUCGUCAAUGUGGCCCCCAGGGACCCUGACAGAACCGGUUCGGGGAAUGAAUCAAAUCCAGCUUCCCCACUUAUCAGCUGUGUGACUUCUGGCGAAGGGCGAGAUUAUACCCCCCAGCCUCAGUUUCCCCAUCUGUCAAGUGGGGACAGAGAUGUUACCCACCUCUCAGGGCACUGUGAGGAUAAACUGGGAUUCUGUCUGUGCAUGGGCUUAGCCGGCAGCGUAUAGUCACUGGUAGCAUUGAGAAUGGUGUGGCCUGAGGUUGCUUUCAUCUCUCGGUAGAUACCACGUUAAUUCAUUCUGCGAAAGACACAUUUUCGGCACUGGAGCCACCAGCAAGGAAGAAGACAGAAUCCUUUGAUUUGCCUGGUAGCUUCCCACUCCAGCCUGUCCCUUCCUCACCUCCACAUUGCAAGUUUAGGUGUCUGUAGCUCUCUGUGCCCCAGAAUGAAGUCAGGGGCCCCUGCCCACCUCUGCAGGUUUCUCCCUGGGUCGUCCCCUCCUACUCCUUCCCAUCCCACCCACAUCCAGCCACAGCCUGAAGACCCCAAAGGGUUUGCAGAUGUGUCUGGGUGCCCACUCGGCUCACUCUCACCUUGCACUGGCCCACCCUCAGGCCCAGCUCCAAUGCUCCCUCUCCAUGGUCUUAACGGGGGUCCGCACACCCGUUAGUGGCUCAUGAAAUCUCCCCUGCAUUGCGUGUUUCCCUGCAGUGCCCUAUCUCUUGACUUAUCCGUCCCACCACUACACGCAUAUGGAGAAUUACAUCACAGGCCCUUUGGCGGGGGCCAGGGGUGGAGCUCUCUGACUGUGUUUGUGUCCUUAGCACCAAGCAGCAUGCCUGGCACAUAGUAGCUGCUCAGUAAAUUUGAGCAGAAUGGGUAAGAAAUCAUAUCAUGGGCAGGCUGGGCGCGGUGGCUCACGCCUGUAAUCCUAGCACUUUGGAAGGCCGAGGUGGGUGGAUCACAAGGUCAGGAGAUCGAGACCAUCCUGGCUAACAUGGCAAAAACCCGUCUCUACUAAAAAAUACAAAAAAAAUUAGGUGGGCAUGGUGGUGGGCACCCUUAGUCCCAGCUACUCGGGAGGCUGAGGCAGGAGAAUGGCGUGAACCCGGGAGGUGGAGCUUGCAGUGAGCCGAGAUUGCGCCACUGCACUCCAGCCUGGGCAACAGAGCAAGACUCCGUCUCAAAACAAAACAAAACAAAGAAAUCAUGUCAUGGGCAGUGGUGGAUGAUACUGAGUUUCCAUCAAAGUUGGGUUUGGUCACUGAGGAAUUACAGGUGACAGGUUUUAAGCUUGUGCCGGAGAGAAGCCAGUGCCCCUUGGUACCUACAUAAUAGGGCUCAGAGAGAUCACCCUGGGUGGAUCUCCCCAUGUAUUGCAAAUCGAUAGGCAGGCUGGGCACCGUGGCUCACACCUAUAAUUUCAGCACUUUGGGAGGCCAAAGUGGGUGGAUCACCUGAGGUCUAGAGUUCGAGACCAGCCUGAUCAGCAUGGAGAAACCCCAUUUCUACUAAAAAUACAAAAUUAGCCGGGCUUGGUGACGGGUGCCUGUAAUCCCAACUACUCGGGAGGCUGAGGCAGGAGAAUCGCUUGAACCUAGGAGGUGGAGUUUGCAGUGAGCCAGGAUCAUGCCAUUGCACUCUAGCCGGGGCACCAAAAGCUCGGAUGAUCCUCAGUGGUCUGGGGUGCAGGCUUCAAACCUGUAGCUGUCUAGCGACAGAGUGGUUCAAUUCCACCUUUGUAGGCCCGGCGCAGUGGCUCACGCCUGUAAUCCCAGCACUUUGGGAGGCCGAGGCGGGUGGAUCACGAGGUCAGGAGAUCGAGACCAUCCUGGCUAACACAGUGAAACUCCAUCUCUACUAAAAAUACAAAAAAAUUAGCUGGGCGUGGUGGCGGGCGCCUGUAGUCCCAGCUACUCGGGAGGCUGAGGCAGGAGAAUGAUGUGAACCUGGGAGGCAGAGCUUGCAAUGAGCCGAGAUGACGCCACUGCACUCCAGCCUGGGCGACAGAGUGAGACUCUGUCUCAAAAAAAAAAAAAAAAAAAAAAAAAAACUCAGUAGGUGUGGCUCAAGGCAGCACUUUCCUCAGUCUUCUGAGUGUGCCGUUUACCGUUCCAGGUCACACCUAAGAUACAUUUGCAAAUGUAAUGAUCCUCCCCUGGCAGUUUCAUCUUUCUUAAGAGCACAGAGUGCUCUCCAGUAUGAUUGUUAAAUAUGGCAUGCGUGCAUGGAUUGGCAUAUGUGUGCAUGGGUUGGUGAGCAGAGACAUGUGUAGCCAGGAUAGAUGUGGGCAUUAUGCCAUGAAAACUAGGGGCUACUGUCAGGAUGUUGAGUUUGAAACAUGGGCUUUUUAUUUUAGCAAACAGGAGAUGAUGAAAGCGUUUCACAGAGCUGGGGCUGGCAAAUGUCAAGCCUGCCCCUCCAGAUGGGACCUGCAUGCGGGCCAUUCAUGGCUCCUGUGUCUCUUUUAUUCUUGGCAGUCUCUCAUCACUUUUGUGAACAAGCACCUGAACAAGCUGAAUUUGGAGGUGACGGAACUGGAGACCCAGGUAUGUGCUGCUUUGGCUUGAAGGAUCCUUUGUCCACCGCCAUUUUCAGUCAGUGUUUUGAUCCCAGGUGGGGCGCGUGAACAAAGCUGGCGCCAUUUUGUUCAUCUCACAAGGAACUCCCGUGGUGCAGGCAGAAAUAACCACCGUGGCCUUCUCAGCCCCUCUGUCUUCCUUUCCUGGGGCUGCUGCCACAAAGCACCACAAACCUAGUGGCUGAAACAACAGACCUUUGUGUCCUCGAAGUGCUGGAGGCCUGAAGUCCAAAAUCAAGGUGGGGCCCGGGCGGGUUCCCUCCAAGGCUGUGAGGGAGUAGCUGUUCCUGGCCUCCCUCCCAGCUUCUGUGGUUUUGCCGGGAUCUUUAGCAUUCCUUGGCUUGUACACACAUCACUCCCUUCUCUGCCUUCAUCUUCAUGUGGUGUCGUCCUUGUGUGUGUGUCUCUGUGUCCAAAUGUCCCCCUUUUAUCAGGACGUGGUCAUGUUGGAUUAGAGCCCACCCAUGGCUUCACCCCAACCUGACUGCAUCUAUGUAAACCCUGUUUCCAGAUACGGUCACAUUCAGAGGUCCUGGUGAUUAGGGUUCCACUGUAUCUUUUUUUUUUUUUUUUUUUUUUUUAAAGACAGAGUCUCACUCUGUCACCCAGGCUGGAGUGCAGUGGCGUGAUCUUGGCUCACUGCAACCUCCACCUCCCGGGUUCCAACGAUUCUCCUGCCUCAGCCUCCCGAGUAGCUGGGACUACAGGUGCAUCCCACCAUGCCCAGCUAAUUUUUGUAUUUUUAGUAAAGACGGGGUUUCACCAUGUUGGCCAGGAUGGUCUCGAUCUCCUGGCCUCAUGAUCUGCCUGCCUCAGCCUCCCAAACACUGUAUCUUUUUUUGGGAGACACAAAACCCCAAAACACCUGGGUGGUGUUAUUCAACCCAUAACACACUCCAGGGCUCCACCCCAGCCCAACACAGGGCCUUUGCACACGCAGUUCCUCUGUCUAGAACGUGCUGGCCCCUUCAGCCUCUGCUCAGUGCUGCUGUCACACUGUGGCCAGGACCUAGCAAAUGUCCCCCUGGUAAGUAUGUACAACACAUUUCUUCUGCAAUAAGUAUAUCAAGUCUACUUCCCCAGCCCCGACCCCUACUCAAAGCUAAAGGAGCAUCCUUAAAUUAUGUUUUUGGGCACUCCGCGAGCAUUAAAGACAAAAUAUGAUUUUCCCAGGAUUAGCAGGGUGCUUGAAUGUGGAGGUUUUUGAGCUCUUGGUACAGACAUCCCUAAUGCACAGCUGAUCUUUCUUAAACCCCAAGGUGAAUGCAUUCAUUCCCUUCUCUUUCUUUAGCUUUUCUCAUUUGCUUUUCUAAUUAAAAAAGUAAUUCAGGUUCAUUGUAGAAAUGUCUGAAAAUGCAGAUAAGCAAAACAAAUAAAAAUCACCCAUAAUCCCGUCACCCGGAGAUGAAUGCACAGAGGGUUUUGUUCGGGCCUUUUCUCUACACAUACAGCGAGUCAUGGACAGCGUGGGUCUGUAUAUAAAAGCAUCACAGUCUGUUUUUAAUGUGUAUAUUUAUUUGUGUAUCGUUGGCCAACACAUUUCUUGUUUUCCGCAGUUUACAAAUGUUGCACAUUUAGCCUCAGAUUAUUUUCUGUUUGAGACGUUAGCACCCCAGAAGCCGCUGAGGUGAAAAGUAAAAAUCUUCCUUUCUCCUUUUCUGGAGACCUCCCCCUUCAGACUCUCCAGGGGCAGCUAACUGCAGUUCAUGGUUGGAUGUGUAUUUUUCUAGAUAUUUUCUUUUUCUUUCUUCCUUUUUUUUGAGACAGAGUCUCACUCUGUCCCCCAGGCUGGAGUGCAGUGACACAAUCUCAGCUCACUGCAACCUCCACCUCCUGGGUUCAAGCAAUUCUCCUCCCUCAGCCUCCUGAGUAGCUGGGACUACAGGUGCGCCUCACCAUGCCUGGCUAAUUUUUUUGUAUUUUUAGUAGAGAUGGGGUUUCACCAUGUUGGUCAGGCUGGUCUCGAACUCCUGACCUUGUGAUCCACCUGCCUCAGCCUGCCAAAGUGUUGCGAUUACAGGUGUGAGCCACAUUUUCUAU